This 186-nucleotide ribosomal RNA is filed under the name uncultured bacterium. RNAcentral's name for it is "partial 16S ribosomal RNA". It matches the Rfam family "Bacterial small subunit ribosomal RNA", at positions 327 to 525 of the family's 1533-position model. The record is from RNAcentral.
CCACCUUUACUCCUACGGGAGGCAGCAGUGGGGAAUAUUGCACAAUGGGCGCAAGCCUGAUGCAGCGACGCCGCGUGAGGGAUGACGGCCUUCGGGUUGUAAACCUCUUUCAGCAGGGAAGAAGCGCGAGUGACGGUACCUGCAGAAGAAGCACCGGCUAACUACGUGCCAGCAGCCGCGGUAAUC